RNAcentral lists this ribosomal RNA (606 nucleotides) under uncultured bacterium. RNAcentral describes it as "bacterial SSU rRNA". It matches the Rfam family "Bacterial small subunit ribosomal RNA", at positions 172 to 773 of the family's 1533-position model. The record is from RNAcentral.
CAUACGAUCUAAGGAUGAAAGUGGGGGAUCGCAAGACCUCAUGCUCGUGGAGCGGCCGAUAUCUGAUUAGCUAGUUGGUAGGGUAAAAGCCUACCAAGGCAUCGAUCAGUAGCUGGUCUGAGAGGACGACCAGCCACACUGGAACUGAGACACGGUCCAGACUCCUACGGGAGGCAGCAGUGGGGAAUUUUGGACAAUGGGCGCAAGCCUGAUCCAGCAAUGCCGCGUGAGUGAAGAAGGCCUUCGGGUUGUAAAGCUCUUUUGUCAGGGAAGAAACGGUGAGGGCUAAUAUCUUUUGCUAAUGACGGUACCUGAAGAAUAAGCACCGGCUAACUACGUGCCAGCAGCCGCGGUAAUACGUAGGGUGCAAGCGUUAAUCGGAAUUACUGGGCGUAAAGCGUGCGCAGGCGGUUUUGUAAGUCUGAUGUGAAAUCCCCGGGCUCAACCUGGGAAUUGCAUUGGAGACUGCAAGGCUAGAAUCUGGCAGAGGGGGGUAGAAUUCCACGUGUAGCAGUGAAAUGCGUAGAUAUGUGGAGGAACACCGAUGGCGAAGGCAGCCCCCUGGGUCAAGAUUGACGCUCAUGCACGAAAGCGUGGGGAGCAAAC